This is a long non-coding RNA of Cotesia glomerata, 1338 nucleotides long. RefSeq lists it as uncharacterized. The transcript has 3 exons. Lineage: Eukaryota; Metazoa; Arthropoda; Insecta; Hymenoptera; Braconidae. The record is from RefSeq and is a predicted model, not a curated record.
ACAAAUUGCCGAGGCGAAGGUUGAGCCUCGGUAAUUAUGGGGAAGGAAAGACAUAGUUCGAAAGAGAGGUAACACAUAUACAUUCGCCUCGACACUCGACAUGUAGUAUAGCAGAUGGAGUAACACUCAGCCCGUUUCUUGUUUGAUAUUAUAUCAAGAGUAGCGAGUUGUGAGUUGUGUUCCUACUGCUCAUUAUUAUUAUACUAUCAUCUUUCUUUCUCAAAUGGACAUUAUCGGUCUAUCUCUGUCCACAUAAUGAUCACGUGCGAGUAGAGUAGGACUCUCUGAUAUGACUCGGCACAGCAGCUAAAACCGAUUCUUAUAUUAUUCCACCUAUGUCUAUUAUGUGUGGAUGUGGUUGCGUUUAUUUCUCGCCUCCUGAUACUGUACUAAUACCAAGUUAGAGUCUUGCGGUAAAAUUUAACACACGACACGCUUGGUGCUCCUCCGGAUUAGAUCCUGGAUCUGUAUUCCGUAUUCCAUAUUUUAUUACUUAUAACUUUAACUUGUAACUAUUCUAUAACUGUGUACAGUAUGUAUUUAUAAUAAUGUGUAUACAUCAUCUUUCUCCGGAUGUGAUUGAGCAUGAGCGUUGACUCAAUUGGAUCAAGAGAAAUUUUAGUUACAUACAUUAUAUAUUUAUAUAUUAAUAUACAUUUUAGUAUAACAUACGGCUGAACUUAAACGUCAGCAGAAUAACUCGCGCGUUCGCUGACCCCUUUGAUCCUUGUGCUACAAUUUUUUAUCUCUCGUAACAUAAACGGAUAGAAGACAAUUGAGCGUCCCGUCAAUAAGAUGUACGACUUUGUCUGGGCAAUAUGACUCGGUACUUUACAGGAUAACUAGUAACUAAACAUCAGCAGCCAGCAGUGCGUCAUGCAGUCUGUCACAAGCUGCAACUUCCAACGUCCAACUUAUACUUUUACGAGGCCUUCUGUACUUACUUUUCUUUGUUUCGGGAAUAGUCGAGAUAUGAUUGACCGGAAUCACGACACGACAUUGAACUAACCAAUAAAUAAAAAAGAAAUCCAAAGCUUUGGAGGGAAGUAUUAUUAGCAAUAGAUCAUCACAUUCCAAAUUCUAAAUUCCGGGUCUGUCCUCGAAGGGCCAAAGGCAAUACAACUUUAAAUAAUCUGGCCUACUCGUACAUCGAUACCCAGCCAAUUACGCUCGUCUCGGAGCCAUCUGCUUCUCCGGUCCUUAUCCGCGCUAUAAACAUCCUAUCAUGGAGAACCAGAAGGUUCAUCCUGCCCCGGAGCUUAUUGGAUCUUCUUCGGCCUCAUGACCGACUGCCCAAUGCUUCAAAAUUAAAAACGGCCAUGACUUACUCUAAUAUUU